This 263-nucleotide ribosomal RNA is filed under the name uncultured bacterium. Its description in RNAcentral is "partial 16S ribosomal RNA". It matches the Rfam family "Bacterial small subunit ribosomal RNA", at positions 793 to 1055 of the family's 1533-position model. The record is from RNAcentral.
GUCCACGCUGUAAACGAUGAGAACUGGAUGUCAGGCAGCCUAGCUGUUUGGUAUCGAAGCUAACGCGUUAAGUUCUCCGCCUGGGAAGUACGGUCGCAAGAUUAAAACUCAAAUGAAUUGACGGGGGCCCGCACAAGCGGUGGAGCAUGUGGUUUAAUUCGAUGCAACGCGAAAAAACCUUACCUACUCUUGACAUCUUUGGAAUUCUGCUGAAAGGCGAAGUGCCGAAAGGAACCAAAAGACAGGUGCUGCAUGGCUGUCGU